GAAUUGUUAGUCAAAUUUGAUUGGAAUCCAAUCAGUGAAAAGUGGUUUUUGAUUUCCUGAUAACUUCGAUUUUGUUCAUUUUUCGCGAAUUGUUAGUCUAAUUCGAUUGAAAUUGAGUCAAUGAAAAGUGAUUUUUGAUUUCAUAAAAAUUUUCGAUUUGUUCGUUUUUGACGAAUUGCUAAUCAAAUUCUAUUUGGCUAGAGUCAAUAAAAAGUGGUUUUUGAUUUCAUGAUAACUACUCUAUACAAUUGCUCCCCUCCUUUUUUGAAUAAAAAUGGAAAGGAAAUUACAUACGCAAUAACAAAAGGUCGAGGUUCGGUUGAAGGGUGGCACCACCGCCAGACAGCAAUCCCAGCCACCGCAGAGUACAGGUUCAGUUUGUUCUAGGGUCCAAAUAACAGCAGCUGCUCUGCCAAGCCAGCUUAUACACAUUCAUGUGAUCCUUACACACCCAAUCAUUUAAACCACUGCGGUACUAGCUUUUGAUCUGGGCGCACCGACACUUCAGGGCCGGUUACUUAAUUGCUGCAGAGAGCCAUCCAAUGGCCCUCUCAAAGGUCCAAACAACAAACUGAAACUUACUGCGUGCUAGUCCAGGGACGCAAACUGCUGGCGAUGUAGCCACCAUGACAAGCCUUCCGCCGCCUUAUUGCCCCCACUUGGGUUACAGGCACGCGUUACUGCACCCGGCAGCCACACGUCUAGGCAUAGGUAAUAUAAAGUGUGAAAAACUUUUAAAGAUUCUCGAUGUGGGACAAUAUAGUAAACGACAUAGUUUUGCAGAAAAUUCUACGCUGCGGUCUCAUGGAGGCAAUGUUGCAGCUUAGGUACCUCGAAUCCUUCCCCUCUCUCAAACCGCUCUGUAUUCUCUCUCUAAAGCAUGGAUUUUUGGAGGGUUUUGCUUUGCGAAGAGGAAAUGGGCUUGACAACCAUCGAAAAACCGGGUCGAGUUAUGGCCCAUAAUGUUAACGUGUAUAUAAUUGCAGUGAUUUAAGUUUACAAGGAUAUGUCUGGGAUUACCUCUUCAUUCAUCUUCUGCUUUUUAUAAAUGAAUCACUUUGGGUUUUAAAAAGCUUUAUUAACCAAAUAAAACACUCUUAGAAAAUUAUCCAAAUAAAUCAAAAUUCAACUACUUUAUCCCGAUCUCGUAUGAACUAAAAUCUAUAUUUUAAUUUAAAUCAAAGUCAAUUAAUUUUAAGUAUACAUGUCGUAAACUUUUAUCGAAAUUUAUUAAGUAUCUAACUUUAAUUCUUACCAAAUAUGGACUAGUCUCCAAAGACAUACUAAACAAGCCCUCAAUUUGUUUCAUCUCUAACAACUUAAAGGCUUAGAUCAUUAUGGUCAUUGCCAAUUUAGGAAAAUAGGCAUUUGGAAUAAUGAUAUUUGAUUACUAGGGGAAAUUUUUGUUAUAUCUAACUUAACCUUUCAAAUCACAUUGUUUAAUCGUGAUUAACUCCUAAUAAUGAAUGUAUAUCAGCAUCAUCCUUAAUGAAUGAAAAUAUCUAAUUCAACUGUUAAAAUAUAUAUAUAUAUAUAUAUAUAUAUAUAUAUAAAUUAAGGAAUCUUAAUAUUUAAUCAUCGUUGAGCUCGAUGGAACUUGUACUAAUAUGCUUAACAAAAAAUAAGAAAAAAAUAAUAUUUGUCUAAUAAAGCGUCCAAUACAAUCAAAUAUGGGAUAUCGAAAAAAAAAAUACGCAAUAAAAAUUUUUGUUCCCUGAAUAUCAAAAAUCUCCUCUCCUCUAACCAGCUACUUUGCUCAUUUCUCCCUAUGCCAAAAACAUAUAGAUUUAUCAAUGACGGCUCCUGGCUCAUUUCCCCCUUUGUUGCAGGUAAUUUCUUUGAUUCUUGAUGCUCAAUAGUAUUCUCUAAUCCUCCUCCGUAAUGGGAUUAGCUUAUAAAGAAGUAGAAAAUAUCUAGGACUACAAUGUUAUAUAUCACGAUUUCCUACUAAAACAAUGCAAUCACCAGCAUAGUAUAAUCCGAAAAUUUCUAGAAGAUAUUUCCCUUGAGCAAGAGGUUCAUUUGUAAAGCAAAGCUCAAAUAUGAAUACUAUGGUCAUUGGUUAUCUUUUCUUUUACUGCUGUUCUCUGGAGGAAGUGCUGUGAACUGGAUGAUCCUUUGAACUUGGGCAGCAUCGACAUGAAACCUCUCAGCAAUUUGAGGAAUAUUCAUAGGACCAUCAUGAUCAUCAGCCUUGCCUUGGUGCAGCAGGAUGAUUUGGCGUAUUUGUGCAACAUUUAGGGUUCCGGGAGGAGCAGGUAAUUCCUCGUAUCUGCUAGAAUCUAGUGUCGUAUUCCUUAGUUUAGGCAAAGGCCUUUUGUACUUCUCCACCAAAAAGGCCUGUGAAAAUAGUUCGGGGUCAAUAAUAGAUUCGCUUGAUAUAAACAAAAAUAGCCGAAGGACUCGAUCAUUCAAAUUCACUAUCAGCCCCUUAAUGAGCCGUACGAAAUGGCAAAAAAGAUUUGUAUAGCCAACCUCAAAUUUGUUAAGAACGAGGCUCAGUUCAAAAAUACUCUGUUUAGACCAUUCCAAUUCAAACAUAACACAACUGACUGCAAACUCAUGCCUGAUAAGUUUGUUCUAGGGUCCAAAUAACAGCAGCUGCUAUGCCAAGCCAGCUUAUACACAUUCAUGUGAUCCUUACACACCCAAUCAUAUAAACCACUGCGGUACUAGCUUUUGAUCUGGGCGCACCGACACUUCAGGGCCGGUUACUUAAUUGCUGCAGAGAGCCAUCCAAUGGCCCUCUCAAAGGUCCAAACAACAAACUGAAACUUACUGCGUGCUAGUCUAGGGAUGGCAAACUGCUGGCGAUGUAGCCACCAUGACAAGCCUUCCGCCGCCUUAUUGCCCCCACUUGGGUUACAGGCACGCGUUACUG
This 2881-nucleotide long non-coding RNA is filed under the name Olea europaea (common olive). RNAcentral's name for it is "long non-coding RNA (OEUR_LNC001534)". Lineage: Eukaryota; Viridiplantae; Streptophyta; Magnoliopsida; Lamiales; Oleaceae. The record is from RNAcentral.